This 497-nucleotide ribosomal RNA is filed under the name uncultured bacterium. RNAcentral's name for it is "partial 16S ribosomal RNA". It matches the Rfam family "Bacterial small subunit ribosomal RNA", at positions 28 to 507 of the family's 1533-position model. The record is from RNAcentral.
GAUGAACGCUGGCGGCGUGCCUAAUACAUGCAAGUCGAGCGAACAGAUGAGGAGCUUGCUCCUCUGACGUUAGCGGCGGACGGGUGAGUAACACGUGGAUAACCUACCUAUAAGACUGGGAUAACUUCGGGAAACCGGAGCUAAUACCGGAUAAUAUAUUGAACCGCAUGGUUCAAUAGUGAAAGACGGUUUUGCUGUCACUUAUAGAUGGAUCCGCGCCGCAUUAGCUAGUUGGUAAGGUAACGGCUUACCAAGGCAACGAUGCGUAGCCGACCUGAGAGGGUGAUCGGCCACACUGGAACUGAGCCACGGUCCAGACUCCUACGGGAGGCAGCAGUAGGGAAUCUUCCGCAAUGGGCGAAAGCUUGACGGAGCAACGCCGCGUGAGUGAUGAAGGUCUUCGGAUCGUAAAACUCUGUUAUUAGGGAAGAACAAAUGUGUAAGUAACUAUGCACGUCUUGACGGUACCUAAUCAGAAAGCCACGGCUAACUACGUG